GGGUGGUACUGCGCACACGGGCUUUGGACCGGUCUUCGCGGUCGGUAGCCUUGAUUGGUUGCCGCUCGUGGCUGGUUGGUUUACUUUGAACAAAUCAGAGUGCUCAGCACAGGCGUCUAGCCGGAAUGUUCGUGCAUGGAAUAAUAGAAAAGGAUUUCGGUCCUCUUUUGUUGGUUUUGUGGACUGAGAUAAUGGUUAACAGAGACGACCGGGGGCAUUCGUAUUGCUGCGUGAGAGGUGAAAUUCUUGGACCGCAGCAGGACGAACUACAGCGAAAGCAUUUGCCAAGUGCGUCUUCAUUAAUCAAGAACGAAAGUCAGAGGUUCGAAGGCGAUCAGAUACCGCCCUAGUUCUGACCGUAAACGAUGCCAACUAGCGAUCCGCCGAUGGCCUUUCGGCCUUGGUGGGGAGCUUCCCGGAAACGAAAGUCUUCCGGUUCCGGGGGAAGUAUGGUUGCAAAGCUGAAACUUAAAGGAAUUGACGGAAGGGCACCACCAGGAGUGGAGCCUGCGGCUCAAUUUGACUCAACACGGGAAAACUCACCCGGCCCGGACACCGUGAGGAUUGACAGAUUGAUAGCUCUUUCAUGAUUCGGUGGUUGGUGGUGCAUGGCCGUUCUUAGUUCGUGGAUCGAUUUGUCUGGUUUAUUCCGAUAACGAGCGAGACUCUAGCCUACUAACUAGUGCGGGCAUUGCCGUUGUGCCUCGCCGCACUUCUUAGAGGGAUUGGCUG
This 732-nucleotide ribosomal RNA is filed under the name uncultured eukaryote. RNAcentral describes it as "SSU rRNA". It matches the Rfam family "Eukaryotic small subunit ribosomal RNA", at positions 672 to 1426 of the family's 1831-position model. The record is from RNAcentral.